Long non-coding RNA from Clarias gariepinus (North African catfish), 510 nucleotides. RefSeq lists it as uncharacterized. The record is from RefSeq and is a predicted model, not a curated record. NCBI's taxonomy places the organism in Eukaryota, Metazoa, Chordata, Actinopteri, Siluriformes, Clariidae. The transcript is spliced from 3 exons.
AAUAUUUACAAUAUUUAUAAUGUAUAUUUUUUGAACCACGCCCUUCAACCUUCAGAAAUACUGUCAUGCCUGGACGAAGACUUCGAACAUACUUCUUUUCCACCUUUGGAAAGGGCCGUAACAUUCAGAUCACGCCGCAUGACAUAAAGCAUGCUCUACAAGGCCAUGCUAAAGAUGAAGGUGCUUAUCUCCCUACUGGCACCUGGGGAACACUUUGCCAGUCUUUGCAAAUUCCAAAUUCUCUUUGCAACAAAGUAAGAUUGAAAAACAUUGCACAGGCCCACCUACAGGUAAUAUUUCAACGAGAGAACAGGGAUGAGGAUAUGUGUAUUAAGUUUCUUUUCAAGUUUAUACUUACGAUGGGUUAACGUGUAAGGUAAUAUAGAGAUGCAUAGACAUUAAAUCAAGUAAUGGAACAGUAAAAACAUAGUAAUUAUUGUCUGGGGCAUAUGUUGUUACACACUAACUUUGGCGUUGCAUUCAGUUAGCGUCUUUGUUAAUAAUACUUCA